This 497-nucleotide ribosomal RNA is filed under the name uncultured bacterium. RNAcentral describes it as "partial 16S ribosomal RNA". It matches the Rfam family "Bacterial small subunit ribosomal RNA", at positions 28 to 507 of the family's 1533-position model. The record is from RNAcentral.
GAUGAACGCUGGCGGCGUGCCUAAUACAUGCAAGUCGAGCGAUCAGACGAGGAGCUUGCUCCUCUGACGUUAGCGGCGGACGGGUGAGUAACACGUGGAUAACCUACCUAUAAGACUGGGAUAACUUCGGGAAACCGGAGCUAAUACCGGAUAAUAUAUUGAACCGCAUGGUUCAAUAGUGAAAGACGGUUUUGCUGUCACUUAUAGAUGGAUCCGCGCCGCAUUAGCUAGUUGGUAAGGUAACGGCUUACCAAGGCAACGAUGCGUAGCCGACCUGAGAGGGUGAUCGGCCACACUGGAACUGAGACACGGUCCAGACUCCUACGGGAGGCAGCAGUAGGGAAUCUUCCGCAAUGGGCGAAAGCCUGACGGAGCAACGCCGCGUGAGUGAUGAAGGUCUUCGGAUCGUAAAACUCUGUUAUUAGGGAAGAACAAAUGUGUAAGUAACUAUGUACGUCUUGACGGUACCUAAUCAGAAAGCCACGGCUAACUACGUG